Molecule: ribosomal RNA, 254 nt
Filed under: uncultured bacterium
Lineage: Bacteria
Description: partial 16S ribosomal RNA
Rfam family: Bacterial small subunit ribosomal RNA
Source: RNAcentral
UACGUAGGGUGCGAGCGUUGUCCGGAAUUAUUGGGCGUAAAGAGCUCGUAGGCGGUGUGUCACGUCGGCCGUGAAAACCUGGGGCUUAACUCUGGGCGUGCGGUCGAUACGGGCAUCACUAGAGUUCGGCAGGGGAGACUGGAAUUCCUGGUGUAGCGGUGAAAUGCGCAGAUAUCAGGAGGAACACCGAUGGCGAAGGCAGGUCUCUGGGCCACUACUGACGCUGAGAAGCGAAAGCAUGGGGAGCAAACAGG